RNAcentral lists this long non-coding RNA (1207 nucleotides) under Anas platyrhynchos platyrhynchos (common mallard). RNAcentral describes it as "lncRNA (ENSAPLG00000019737.1)". Lineage: Eukaryota; Metazoa; Chordata; Aves; Anseriformes; Anatidae. The record is from RNAcentral.
AUGACUGUGUGUGAAAUUUUGGCCACACAAGUGAGCAGCCUGAGGUCAAGGAGAGGAGACAAGUGCUCCACAUCUGCAUCGCAUGAAAACAUUUGGGCACCAGAUCUUCACUGCUGGAGACUUAGGAACAGGUUAAAUAACCAUCUGCCAGAUUGGCAGCACCAUGGGAAACCCAACACUUGGAUGAACAGCAGUGCAUAUGGUGAAUAUGGGGGAAGAAUUCUGAAGCUGUAAUUCAGGUAAGUGAGAGCUGAGAGGGUGGUUGUUUUUUUUUUUUUUUUUUCUUUUUUUUCCUCUCUUUUCCCCCCCCCCCCCCCCCUUUUUUUCUUUUUCUUUUUUUUUUUUUUUUUUCAGCCAAUGGUUUUAUAGUACAUAUCAUCAAGUGCAUAUUAAGCAGAGUUUCUGGACUAAUGCUUUCCAGCCUUGACUCUCAGACUUGGUAACUGUUCCAAAUAGUACUUUAAAAUGUCUUAGCUGUAUAAAUACAAGACCUCAAUGUUACCCUUGUUGACAAAACCAAAAACAAGUUAUAUUAAAAAAAAAAAAAAGUUAAUAUAUAUUUUUAAGUAAUUCUGAAUAUGUACUGGCCAAGGGAAAAAUUAUGUCUAUCGCAUAAAAAGGACUUGAUAUUCUUAAUGGUAUUUUUAAAUUGACUUCCAAUUUGGUAUUAGUCAUGGGUGCAAAAAAAGGCCUCAGGUAAUGACCAUAUAUGUUCAGGUCUAAGGGGUGGAUGUACAGAAGAAAAUCAAGUUAAUCAAGGCAGCAACUUGUUCUGGGCUUGCUGACUUGGGUUAGGGCUCCCUUAAUGUGUCAGAUGAGCUGACCUUAUACAAAGCACUGGGAAAGUUAGGUGUUGCAGGCAGAACAAAGGAGCUGUUUUAUCAUAUAAAGCAAUUGAAAUAAGAUUCAUUCCAUGGUCUGUAAGGGUCACCACAGCAUCCCAUGUGCAGUACAAAGUGGUUUUCCGUGCAGAAGUAUGGAGCUGGAACUGCUCCACGUGAUUUCAAAUACAAAGUGUCUUUGAAUUCAGCGGCUAGAGCUCUGUCUAGUCUGAUUUUAAACUAACCAUCAAUUCACCUUUUUCCCAUUUCCACUGAUUCUUUUGGCAUCUGAUUACAUUUGUUUAAUGAAUCUUUUGUUGUAUAUUAACUAUCCCUUAUUAAGUGCAAAUUUGCAGAGGAUUAAACCAUACAAUAGAUCCACGUUG